RNAcentral lists this transfer RNA (94 nucleotides) under Roseiterribacter gracilis. RNAcentral's name for it is "tRNA-Arg". Lineage: Bacteria; Pseudomonadati; Pseudomonadota; Alphaproteobacteria; Rhodospirillales; Roseiterribacteraceae. The record is from RNAcentral.
GACUGGGUUGCUCGACGGGGAUGCAUUCGCCGUCAUCUACGCGGCGGUGGGCGCCACUGCGGCGCCCGGCUUGGUUCUGUACCGAAUUCAGCCG